This 293-nucleotide long non-coding RNA is filed under the name Homo sapiens (human). Its description in RNAcentral is "non-protein coding lnc-COG7-3:2". The record is from RNAcentral. Lineage: Eukaryota; Metazoa; Chordata; Mammalia; Primates; Hominidae.
UCUAGUCAGGACUAAUCACGGUGUUUCAGUGCGGAGUGCCAAGAGUCCUAUCCUGACGUCAGGCUCUGGGUGUCAACCUCUGACUUAUUCUGCAGAUGCUCUGUCAUUUACUUGGAGCUCUUUGUGACACACCAUGUCAGUCAUGAUGAAUCGGCCAACAGCCAGCCCUUGCCAGCUGACGUCACAGUCUAAGAUGGGAAACUGUGGUACAGAUAGACAUGAAGAGAGCUUAGCAGUGAUUGAGGUGGUGACUAAAUAUACAGUCAUUGAAUAAAUACCAUGUAGCAAGUGUA